This is a non-coding RNA of Ictidomys tridecemlineatus (thirteen-lined ground squirrel), 245 nucleotides long. The record is from RefSeq and is a predicted model, not a curated record. NCBI's taxonomy places the organism in Eukaryota, Metazoa, Chordata, Mammalia, Rodentia, Sciuridae.
GGAAAGGGGACGAGAAAGGUGAGAGCCAGAGAGGGGCGCGGAGGGGAAGAGUGACGAGUGGAGGAGUUGCAGCUGACAGCAGACGCCUCUCAAUUCCUCGUCCACAAACGGAGCACAACAGGGCUGGGGUGGACGGCGGAGGCAGAGCGCUCGCCACUGCGCGUGAGGCACCUCUUGGAUCCUCGGCACCACGUGUCAUUGCGUCCACCUACAACUAAGAAUGAACAUCAGCACACAAAACCAAA